Cladophialophora carrionii is the source of this 90-nucleotide small nucleolar RNA. It matches the Rfam family "A. fumigatus snoRNA Afu_190". Lineage: Eukaryota; Fungi; Ascomycota; Eurotiomycetes; Chaetothyriales; Herpotrichiellaceae. The record is from Rfam.
CAAUGAUGAGACACCAGCUGGCACCAGUCUGAGAAGACUUGUACUCUUUACAUGCGGAUCAGCUACAUGGCAAUCAGCCUACACUCUGAA